UACGUAGGGUGCAAGCGUUGUCCGGAUUUAUUGGGUUUAAAGGGUGCGUAGGCGGCCUGAUCAGUCAGUGGUUAAAUAUUGCGGCUCAACCGUAAUCUGCCAUUGAUACUGUCAGGCUUGAGUGCAACAGAGGAAACUGGAAUGUGUGGUGUAGCGGUGAAAUGCAUAGAUAUUACAUAGAAUACCGAUUGCGAAGGCAGUCUACUAACUGUAUACUGACGCUAAUGGACGAAAGCGUGGGGAGCGAACAGG
Molecule: ribosomal RNA, 252 nt
Filed under: uncultured bacterium
Lineage: Bacteria
Description: partial 16S ribosomal RNA
Rfam family: Bacterial small subunit ribosomal RNA
Source: RNAcentral